This 484-nucleotide ribosomal RNA is filed under the name uncultured bacterium. RNAcentral describes it as "partial 16S ribosomal RNA". It matches the Rfam family "Bacterial small subunit ribosomal RNA", at positions 30 to 507 of the family's 1533-position model. The record is from RNAcentral.
AUUGAACGCUGGCGGCAUGCUUUACACAUGCAAGUCGAACGGCCGCGCGGGCUUCUUCCUUCCGUGGAGUGGCGAACGGAUGAGUAAUGCAUCGGAAGAUGCCCAGUCUUUGGGGAUGGCCCGGCUACAGCCGGCUUAAUCCCACAUACGACCUGAGGGUGAACGCGGGGGUCCAAAAGUCCUAGCGCUUUUUGCUCUCCCUAUGUCGGAUUAGCUAGUUGGUUGGGUAAAGGCUUACCAAGGCGACGAUCCGUAGCUGGUCUGAGAGGCCGACCUGCCACACUGGGACUGAGACACGGCCCAGACUCCUACGGGAGGCAGCAGUGGGGAAUUUUGGACAAUGGGGGCAACCCUGAUCGAGCCAUGCCGCGUGAGGGAAGAAGGCCUUCGGGUUGUAAAACGCUUUUGUUCGGGAAGAAAUCCUGUGGGCUAAUACCCCGGGGGGAUGACGGUACCGGAAGAAUAAGCACCGGCUAACUACGUG